Molecule: long non-coding RNA, 734 nt
Filed under: Pan troglodytes (chimpanzee)
Lineage: Eukaryota; Metazoa; Chordata; Mammalia; Primates; Hominidae
Description: lincRNA
Source: RNAcentral
CUGCAGGCACAAAUGAGCUUGGUUUUCAAGCACCAGUCUUUGAGCACAAGGAAUUCCUUUAAUGAUCACGGGCUAGAUAGACUUUGGAAUCAGACUCUUUGAAUUCCAGCUCUGCCAUUUACCAACUUUGACACUUUGGAUAGGGUCUCAUUCUGUCAGCCAGGCUGGAGUGCAGUGGCACUAUUAUAGCUCACUGCAGCCUCAAAUGCCUGGGCUCAGGCAGUCUUCCCACCUCUGCCUCCUGAGUAGUUGGGACUACAGGGUUUUGGAAAUCUGGAUUGUAGUGGGGCAUUGUAUGUUAAAAAAUCAUCUUCCCAUUCUGAUCUUUGCAAAGAUUUUUCUGUUCCUUAAAUUUGUUCAGGUUAAGAGAUUGCAGAUUGCUUCUGUGGACUUAUUGAAGGUGGACCUGGCUGUUGGUGGAGAUCCCUAGACUGCAUGGGGCCAUGGGCAUGAUCUGGAGACACAGUAGGUUGUACCAGAAGCAUGGCUGAGGAGGCCUUAAGUAACUUACAAUCAUGGCAGAAGGCAAAGGGGAAGCAGGUCAUCCUCAGAAUUUACACUCUCUCUCCUUUUGUGCCCCCAUGGACCAAGUUAAGAAGGUGUAGGCUUCAAAUCUGAAGAUUGGUCACCACAAAAUUCAAAGAGGCAAGGUCUUUGUUGCUCAGGAUGGAGUGUAGUGGUGCCAUAGCUCACUGUAACCUUGAAUUUCUGGGCUACUGGCAUACACCACCAUG